Molecule: ribosomal RNA, 347 nt
Filed under: uncultured Pseudomonas sp.
Lineage: Bacteria; Pseudomonadati; Pseudomonadota; Gammaproteobacteria; Pseudomonadales; Pseudomonadaceae
Description: bacterial SSU rRNA
Rfam family: Bacterial small subunit ribosomal RNA
Source: RNAcentral
ACAGGUGCUGCAUGGCUGUCGUCAGCUCGUGUCGUGAGAUGUUGGGUUAAGUCCCGUAACGAGCGCAACCCUUGUCCUUAGUUACCAGCACGUUAUGGUGGGCACUCUAAGGAGACUGCCGGUGACAAACCGGAGGAAGUGGGGUGACGUCAAGUCAUCAUGGCCCUUACGGCCUGGGCUACACACGUGCUACAAUGGUCGGUACAAAGGGUUGCCAAGCCGCGAGGUGGAGCUAAUCCCAUAAAACCGAUCGUAGUCCGGAUCGCAGUCUGCAACUCGACUGCGUGAAGUCGGAAUCGCUAGUAAUCGUGAAUCAGAAUGUCACGGUGAAUACGUUCCCGGGCCUU